UCGAAGGCACUUCAGUAAGAAGGUGGGGCUUGCAAACACCGGAUAGUUUGAUCACGAUUCAACGAU
This 66-nucleotide transfer RNA is filed under the name Boodlea composita. RNAcentral describes it as "tRNA-Ala". Lineage: Eukaryota; Viridiplantae; Chlorophyta; Ulvophyceae; Cladophorales; Boodleaceae. The record is from RNAcentral.